This 506-nucleotide ribosomal RNA is filed under the name uncultured bacterium. Its description in RNAcentral is "partial 16S ribosomal RNA". It matches the Rfam family "Bacterial small subunit ribosomal RNA", at positions 29 to 523 of the family's 1533-position model. The record is from RNAcentral.
AGUGAACGCUGGCGGUAGGCCUAACACAUGCAAGUCGAACGGCAGCACAGGAGAGCUUGCUCUCUGGGUGGCGAGUGGCGGACGGGUGAGGAAUACAUCGGAAUCUACUCUGUCGUGGGGGAUAACGUAGGGAAACUUACGCUAAUACCGCAUACGACCUACGGGUGAAAGCAGGGGACCUUCGGGCCUUGCGCGAUUGAAUGAGCCGAUGUCGGAUUAGCUAGUUGGCGGGGUAAAGGCCCACCAAGGCGACGAUCCGUAGCUGGUCUGGGAGGAUGAUCAGCCACACUGGAACUGAGACACGGUCCAGACUCCUACGGGAGGCAGCAGUGGGGAAUAUUGGACAAUGGGCGCAAGCCUGAUCCAGCCAUACCGCGUGGGUGAAGAAGGCCUUCGGGUUGUAAAGCCCUUUUGUUGGGAAAGAAAUCCAGCUGGCUAAUACCCGGUUGGGAUGACGGUGCCCAAAGAAUAAGCACCGGCUAACUUCGUGCCAGCCGCCGCCGUAA